This is a long non-coding RNA of Oncorhynchus tshawytscha (Chinook salmon), 1121 nucleotides long. The record is from Ensembl. Lineage: Eukaryota; Metazoa; Chordata; Actinopteri; Salmoniformes; Salmonidae.
GUCUUCUUGGGUAUGACGCUACAGCCUCUAGUCUUCUUGGGUAUGAUGCUACAGCCUCUAGUCUUCUUGGGUAUGACUCUACAUUCUCCAGUCUUCUUGGGUAUGACGCUACAGCCUCUAGUCUUCUUGGGUAUGACGCUACAGCCUCUAGUCUUCUUGGGUAUGACGCUACAGCCUCUAGUCUUCUUGGGUAUGACGCUACAGCCUCGUGUCUUCCUACUAGGCUACCACAGUAUAUGAUAACUGUAACAAUAGACUACAGAAGACAAGGAGACAUUGUUGGAGUUUUAAAUAAAUACUUUAAUGUUCUGUUAUACCCUGAGGUAAUUUAAUGUCCUGUUAUGCCCUGAGGUAAUUUAAUGUCCUGUUAUGCCCUGAGGUAAUUUAAUGUUCUGGUAUGCCCUGAGGUAAUUUAAUGUUCUGUUAUACCCUGAGGUAAUGAUGUAAUGUUCUGUUAUACCCUGAGGUAAUGUAAUGUUCUGUUAUACCUUGAGGUAAUGUAAUGUUCUGUUAUACCUUGAGAUAAUGAUUUAAUGUGAUGUUAUACCCUGAGGUAAUUUAAUGUUUUGUUAUACCCUGAGAUAAUGAUUUAAUGAUUUAAUGUUCUGUUAUACCCUGAGAUAAUGAUUUAAUGUGAUGUUAUACCCUGAGGUAAUUUACUGUUCUGUUAUACCCUGAGAUAAUGAUUUAAUGUGAUGUUAUACCCUGAGGUAAUUUACUGUUCUGUUAUACCCUGAGAUAAUGAUUUAAUGAUUUAAUGUUCUGUUAUACCCUGAGAUAAUGAUUUAAUGUGAUGUUAUACCCUGAGGUAAUUUACUGUUCUGUUAUACCCUGAGAUAAUGAUUUAAUGUUCUGUUAUACCCUGAGAUAAUGAUUUAAUGUGAUGUUAUACCCUGAGGUAAUUUACUGUUUUGUUAUACCCUGAGAUAAUGAUUUAAUAUUGUAUUAUAAUGAUGAUUUAAUUAUGUAAUGUUCUGUUAUACUCUGAGAUAAUGAUUUCAUGUUCUGUUAUACACUGAGAUAGAGAAUGACAUGAUUUAAUGAUGGACUUGCUUUUUUUUUAAAUGGAUCAUUAUUAAAAGGUAGGUAACAAGACAUACUUGACAGACUAUCGUUACCGG